RNAcentral lists this ribosomal RNA (402 nucleotides) under Rhabdopleura normani. RNAcentral describes it as "bacterial SSU rRNA". It matches the Rfam family "Eukaryotic small subunit ribosomal RNA", at positions 24 to 392 of the family's 1831-position model. The record is from RNAcentral. Lineage: Eukaryota; Metazoa; Hemichordata; Pterobranchia; Rhabdopleurida; Rhabdopleuridae.
UCAUAUGCUUGUCUCAAAGAUUAAGCCAUGCAUGUCUAAGUACAAGCCUUUGUGCAAAGCGAAACUGCGAAUGGCUCAAUAAAUCAGUUAUGGUUCAUUUGAUCGUUGCCUUUGCCCUCGCGGGCCGAGGCUACUUGGAUAACUGUGGCAAUUCUAGAGCUAAUACAUGCGAACCUCGCGGCGCCGCUCUCUCGGGGGUCACGCGCCGCGCGCUUUUAUUAGGAACAAGGCCAGCCUCGUGUGCGUCUUGGCGAACUCUGGAUAACUCUGCCGAUCGCACGGUCCAUUCUGCACCGGCGACGAAUCAUUCAAGUGUCUGCCCUAUCAACUGUCGAUGGUAGGUUACGCGCCUACCAUGGUUUUAACGGGUGACGGGGAAUCGGGGUUCGAUUCCGGAGAGGG